ACAAGAACAGGAGGAAAGUGAAUAAAAGAUUCAAAUGGUGAUAAAAAGAGUUGCAAUUUACACAUUCGUCUGAAUAGGGUAUAUUUACACAGAAGCAAGCAGUCUGAAGAAAAGAACAUGAACAGCAACCUGACUUUGGUAUAUUACUCACUCACUUACAAAUUACCCAGGAAAGCUAAAAAAAAAUAAGGAAAAAUGCCACAAUAUGCAUUGCCCAGAAGACACCAACUGCAGGGGAAUUAACAGAGGAAUGUGCAUGUACUGUACUUCUCCAAGAAAUCAAGUUGAAGACAAGACAAGUUGUUUUGCAAAGUAAUUUCACUUGCUGUGUGGAUAGAAAAGGUUUAGAAAAUCUGCUGUCAGUGCUGCUGCUGAUCCAGUCAAAUGGAGCUUCUGUUGUAGCUGUCUGACUUUAUUUUAGGUAUCCUUUACCAGAAACUCAGAGAGGGUACUUCUGACAGUGAAUGCUAUUUGCAGUGGGUAAAAAUGUACUGUUUUGUUUUUGGGGGAAUAAAAUAAAAAUUAGAUCACAAAAAAAGAACAUUUGGUUUCAGUGAUCAAAAUGUAAAGUAGCACUUUAUGUAGAAAAUUCAAUAAAUAAUACAGCAUUUUUAACCACGUUAUAAUUGUAAUUGUUUAAUAACCAUAAGCUCCAUGUGCUACAGUAUUCCUGCAGUAAAAAAAAAAACAAAAGAAGACAUUUCUAGAGUAGAUUCUUCAUUUCUGUUGUAGACAUUUUUCUGGUCAAUGUUAAAAACAAAACCUUCUCAUCUGCCUACUGUACCUGCCCUUUAUAGCAAGGACUGCAACUGUUGAUUGCUGAGAUACAUUUAAGCUUAAGGCACAAUAUUUAGGCACACCUACUGUACAAGCAUGGGUAGAUCUCUUGGGAUGA
This is a long non-coding RNA of Lepisosteus oculatus (spotted gar), 895 nucleotides long. RefSeq lists it as uncharacterized. The record is from RefSeq and is a predicted model, not a curated record. Lineage: Eukaryota; Metazoa; Chordata; Actinopteri; Semionotiformes; Lepisosteidae.